CUCUAUACUCUAUAGAACCCUCUUUCCAUUCCUAAGGGAUUCUCUUCUAUUUGUCGCCGCCGCCAUGGCCGGGCUGAGCAGACUUGGAGUAGCCACAGCCACGCCAGCACUCCGCGGCCUUGGAUAUCUUGCUACCUCCCGUGCCUACGGAUCGGCUGCUGCGGUUCAAUACGACUACGAUUACGAAUUCGACAACCAGUACUAUUCGGGGGCAGAAGGAAGCAGAAAUCUGCUCCGGGAUUCGCGGCUUCCGGAGCCAAGGCUAGACUCGGCAGCGGCGUCGGACUGGGGAAGAGGAGUGCAAUGGGUGUUGAUAGGGGACCCGGCAGCUCAAAAGCACGUGUACGCUGAAAAGCUUUCGAAGCUUCUACAAGUUCC
RNAcentral lists this unclassified non-coding RNA (378 nucleotides) under Hevea brasiliensis (rubber tree). Lineage: Eukaryota; Viridiplantae; Streptophyta; Magnoliopsida; Malpighiales; Euphorbiaceae. The record is from RNAcentral.